This 426-nucleotide ribosomal RNA is filed under the name Triticum aestivum (bread wheat). RNAcentral's name for it is "partial small subunit ribosomal RNA". The record is from RNAcentral. Lineage: Eukaryota; Viridiplantae; Streptophyta; Magnoliopsida; Poales; Poaceae.
GUAAAUAAAGUAUGUCAGUUCUUACAUGCUCCUACUAGUGCACAUUGGACUGCAGUAAAGAGGAUACUUAGAUAUCUUCAAGGGACUCAGAGUCAUGGACUGGAAAUUGGAAAGUCAGACUCGAUGCUUGUAAGUGCUUUUUCAGAUGCAGAUUGGGCAGGUUGUCCUGAUGAUAGAAGAUCAACAGGAGGCUUUGCAGUGUUUCUUGGCAGUAAUUUGGUUUCUUGGAGUGCUCGCAAGCAGCCAACUGUAUCUAGGUCAAGUACAGAAGCUGAGUACAAGGCCUUAGCUAAUGCCACUGCAGAGAUUAUCUGGGUUCAGAAUUUGCUAACAGAGUUGGGUGUUUCUCAUCCAAGAGCAGCAUCACUUUGGUGUGACAAUCUUGGUGCAACCUAUUUGUCUGCUAAUCCUAUCUUCCAUGCCAGG